This 225-nucleotide ribosomal RNA is filed under the name uncultured bacterium. Its description in RNAcentral is "partial 16S ribosomal RNA". It matches the Rfam family "Bacterial small subunit ribosomal RNA", at positions 57 to 305 of the family's 1533-position model. The record is from RNAcentral.
GCAAGUCGAGCGGUAACACUUCGGGUGACGAGCGGCGAACGGCUGAGUAACGCGUUGGUACCUGCCCCGAACUCAGGGAUAAGCACUGGAAACGGUGUCUAAUACCGGAUAUCUCAGUAAUGAGAAAGAUUUUAUCGGUUCGGGAGGGACCUGCGUCGUAUCAGGUAGUUGGUGAGGUAAUGGCUCACCAAGCCUAUGACGCGUAUCUGGUGUGAGAGCAUGACC